UAGGGAAUCUUCCGCAAUGGGCGAAAGCCUGACGGAGCAACGCCGCGUGAGUGAUGAAGGUCUUCGGAUCGUAAAACUCUGUUAUUAGGGAAGAACAAAUGUGUAAGUAACUAUGCACGUCUUGACGGUACCUAAUCAGAAAGCCACGGCUAACUACGUGCCAGCAGCCGCGGUAAUACGUAGGUGGCAAGCGUUAUCCGGAAUUAUUGGGCGUAAAGCGCGCGUAGGCGGUUUUUUAAGUCUGAUGUGAAAGCCCACGGCUCAACCGUGGAGGGUCAUUGGAAACUGGAAGACUUGAGUGCAGAAGAGGAAAGUAGAAUUCCAUGUGUAGCGGUGAAAUGCGCAGAGAUAUGGAGGAACACCAGUGGCGAAGGCGACUUUCUGGUCUGUAACUGACGCUGAUGUGCGAAAGCGUGGGGAUCAAACAGG
This 429-nucleotide ribosomal RNA is filed under the name Actinomycetes bacterium. Its description in RNAcentral is "Actinobacteria bacterium partial 16S ribosomal RNA". It matches the Rfam family "Bacterial small subunit ribosomal RNA", at positions 355 to 776 of the family's 1533-position model. The record is from RNAcentral. Lineage: Bacteria; Bacillati; Actinomycetota; Actinomycetes.